GUGGCCGGUCACACACUCGCUCUGCGGACCAGCUACAGCUCUGUCAGUCUCCGAGUGGAUUAUUACUGUCACUGCAGCAAGCAGCGAUCCAAAAGGAUCUAUAUUUUGUCUGUCAGACUGACAACUGCACUUAAUCACAGUAUGAAGCAUAGAUGGCUGCUUCUGUCUCUGCCUCACCUGCCCACCAUCACUGAGACCCUGGAAGACUCUGAUACCCUGGGGGCCACGGGCCACCUAGCCCAUCCUGCCCAGUCUGUUUCCCAGUCUCCAUCCCAGUGCUCCCAGUCUCUGGAGGAGUAUAUGACCAGUAUCCAGGUGCUGGCCAGACCAGUGGUGCACCCUAGCUGUGGCCCUGUGAGGCUCCAGAGGACGGGCAGGCCUCAGCUGUUCUCCAAGUCUCAGAUGAAGCACUCUGUCUCAGCUUUGCUGCCCCGCGGUUCCCCCCGGGCCAUCCGGACUAGCACCACCACAGGUCAAGCCCGAGAGCAGCUGCCAGGCAGGCUGGGGAUGGAGAGGGAAUGUGGGGGGAAAGAUCCCAUGGAAUGGCUUUAUGGACAAACACACACAUAAACCUAGACAAGGACAAAGCAGGACACAAAUGAGGACAUACUAGUUUAGGGGAGAAUGCUCAAGCAGCUCUGUGGGUGCUCAAACCUGGAAUAUUAAAUAUCAGGGAAUACUCUAACUGGCUGUAACCAAUGAUGUGCGGUGCUGUCCCCAAAUGGCCCACUGAUGGGUUCUGGAGCUGGACUGGACUGGACUAGAUGUUGUUUCACUGAAUUGUGACACUAUGCUGGAUAUAAUGCAGGGACUCUGUAAACAUUAAUCCAGUAAAACCAACCUGUGGAGUUUAAUUUAAGAGGUUAUUCUAUUUUGUAAUAAAAUACUCUUGUAACAAUAUUUCUUGUAUUCACCGUAUUUACGUUUGCAUAGCUAAUGUUUUAGGAACUUUAAAGAUUCCAAACUGAAUGUCUAAAUGUCUAAAUGUGAUACCAGUGCUUGAUUUGGGCCAGAACACAUCACUUGGCACCUAAUAAUAAUAAUAAACAGUACCGGCACCCAAAAUGAGUAACUGCAUUUUCAUUCCACUUCAAGCACUGUCUGAUACAAAUGUUACUUCUGAGAUUGUGUCCUUG
Long non-coding RNA from Oncorhynchus tshawytscha (Chinook salmon), 1136 nucleotides. NCBI's taxonomy places the organism in Eukaryota, Metazoa, Chordata, Actinopteri, Salmoniformes, Salmonidae. The record is from Ensembl.